GACGUAGGGCGCGAGCGUUGUCCGGAUUUAUUGGGCGUAAAGAGCUCGUAGGCGGCUUGUCGCGUCGUCCGUGAAAACCUGCGGCUCAACUGCAGGCUGGCGGUCGAUACGGGCAGGCUGGAGUUCGGUAGGGGAGACUGGAAUUCCUGGUGUAGCGGUGAAAUGCGCAGAUAUCAGGAGGAACACCGGUGGCGAAGGCGGCAUCCUGGACCGGUAUUGACGCUGAGGCGCGAAAGCCAGGGGAGCAAACGGG
This 253-nucleotide ribosomal RNA is filed under the name uncultured bacterium. RNAcentral's name for it is "partial 16S ribosomal RNA". It matches the Rfam family "Bacterial small subunit ribosomal RNA", at positions 524 to 776 of the family's 1533-position model. The record is from RNAcentral.